UAGAAUUGGGGAAAUUUUUGAGAUCAUGAUUUCUCGAUCUCUUGCAACGGUGAAGCGAGGGUGAAGGCUUCACCGUGAAGCGACGACAACGACUCAACGAGGGUUCAUCGACGAUGACAACAAGGGUUCAUCGAGGGUGAAGCGAGGGUGCAGCGACGAUGACAAGAGGGUGAAGCUAUGACGACGAUUGAAGGUGAAGCUAUGACGACGAUCUCUCUGUCUCUCAGGCUCUCUCUGUCUCCGACGAUCUCUCUCUCCGGCGAUCUCUCUGUCUCUCAGGCUCUCUCUCUCUCCGACCACUUUGCUCUCUCAGGCUCCAUCUCCCCGGCGAUCAUUCUGUCUCUCAGGCUCUCUCUCUCUCCGGCGAUCUCUCUCUCAAGCUCCAUCUCUCCGGCAACUUUGCUCUCUCAGGCUCCAUCUCCCCGGCGACAUCUCUCUCUCUCAGGCUCUCUCUCCGGCGAUCUCUCUCUCAAGUCUUUUAUGCUUGCUUCUCUCAAAAGAUCGCUGGUGGUAGUGGGAAAUCACCAUUAGACACAUACUUGGAUGAGCCAGUGAUUGAUAUGGAAAGCUUUAGAAGUUUGGAUGCUGUCUCAUACUGGAAAGACAAUGCAAGCCGCUUUAAAGAGUUGUCUUCAAUGGCUUGCGAUGUCCUCAGUAUCCCUCUCACGACAGUGGCGUCGGAAUCAUCAUUCAGCAUUGGUAGCCGAGUUCUCAACAAGUACAGAAGCUGUCUCCUACCCACAAACGUUCAAGCUUUGAUCUGCGCAAGGAACUGGUUCCGUGGCUUCCAAGAAAUAGGUGGUGAGAUUGAGUUUACCUCUUAGGUGAUGAGGAUCCCUUCAGUAUAUGAUGCUUUUCUACUGGAUUCUACCAAGGAUUUAUGAUUCUGGAUUUAGCAGUAAACAAUGAUGGUGCUUUAGGUGGUAAGAGGUUACUUGCGGAUGCCACAAAUGCGAGAACUGUUCAAUCUCUUGAGAUUUUGAUAUUGUGAGUUUGAGACCUUGUUAUCUUUGAGACUUUGAUAUUGUAAGUAUGAGAAUUUGUUAU
Brassica oleracea var. oleracea is the source of this 1047-nucleotide long non-coding RNA. RefSeq lists it as uncharacterized. The record is from RefSeq and is a predicted model, not a curated record. The transcript has 3 exons. NCBI's taxonomy places the organism in Eukaryota, Viridiplantae, Streptophyta, Magnoliopsida, Brassicales, Brassicaceae.